GGUCAGGAUAGCUCAGUUGGUAGAGCAGAGGACUGAAAAUC
This 41-nucleotide transfer RNA is filed under the name Bromus inermis (smooth brome grass). RNAcentral's name for it is "partial tRNA-Phe". RNAcentral also lists the same sequence under 15 other names. Lineage: Eukaryota; Viridiplantae; Streptophyta; Magnoliopsida; Poales; Poaceae. The record is from RNAcentral.